This is an unclassified non-coding RNA of Callithrix jacchus (white-tufted-ear marmoset), 117 nucleotides long. It matches the Rfam family "Metazoan signal recognition particle RNA". From Rfam's summary of the family: The signal recognition particle (SRP) is a universally conserved ribonucleoprotein. The record is from Ensembl. NCBI's taxonomy places the organism in Eukaryota, Metazoa, Chordata, Mammalia, Primates, Cebidae.
GCCAGGCAUGGUGGCUCAUGCCUGUAAUCCCAGCAUUUUGGGAGGCUGAGGCAGGUGGAUCACUUGAGGUCAGGAGUUCAUGACCAGCCUGGCCAACAUGGUGAAACCCUGUCUCUA